RNAcentral lists this long non-coding RNA (571 nucleotides) under Oncorhynchus mykiss (rainbow trout). Its description in RNAcentral is "lncRNA (ENSOMYG00000001083.2)". The record is from RNAcentral. Lineage: Eukaryota; Metazoa; Chordata; Actinopteri; Salmoniformes; Salmonidae.
GAUCAAGUGGCCAACACAUGGGUGCAGCUUGAACGGCCUGAUAAAGAUCAAGACCAUCCUGUCCACUGAUACCCAGCUCUACCUCGGUUUGGCCACCACUCUCCUGGCUAUCCUACCUAUGUCAAUCAAACUAUUGGUGAACCCUACUCUAUGGCAGUUCAAACUUCCCUUGUAUGCUGCCAUUGUUACUGAAGGAUGGUCUGUUGGUGCCGUACGUGGUCACCUCCCUGGCCUUCCUGUUCGUCAGCGUAUACCUGCUUUUCCACCCUUGGAGCAUUGCUCAGAAGACGAGCUGCGUCUGGGGCCCUACCACCGCCCCAUCCGUAUGCCCAGCAUGGACCUCGGAAGGGUCACCAAGUGGAAAUUCUACAUCUCCAUCGUGGCCAUGGCUGGUUUGUGCUUUAUGAGCAUGGCGCUGGCCCCUCUGGCCAGGCUGCCUGAUUUGUUUCCCCUCCUGGUGUCAGUGUUCUUUUCCACCACUUCCUGGGCCUCCUCUUCUACUUCAACCUUGUCCAGAUUGCCGAGCCGCCUCCACCUGGGAGUAAGAAUCAGAGUAGUCGCUACCCGGUAG